UGUCUCUAAGUGCUACACCAAUACCCACUAUUACUCCAUCAUCAAUAUUGAUGGCAUCAAUAUUAAAUUUUACCUUUGUGGUGGGUGGUCUCUUCCAACUUUCAGUGCUUAUAGUUUCAGGAGGUGAUUCUAUGAUUCCAUCAAAAUUAAAGCUUGCCAAAAAGUUAGCAUGCUUGUGCAAAGAAGAUCCUGCGAGAGUGAAUCUAAAUUUUUCAUCAAUUCCUCAAUCCAUUCACAAGCUUGGACUCUAGGUGGCUCUGAUGAUCGUAUGGCUAAGGGGCUAUGAUACCAAAAAAUUCUAACAAACUCGCAAUCUUUAAUGAGAUUCAAUCGAGUUGGCAGUGAGUUGUUCAUCAGCCUCCAUGCACAGUUGAUUGCUCUGAGGUGUACCUUCGCUUUCCAAAGCCUUUUCUAUUUGGAUUCUUUUAGGUCUAAUGAGAUUUCGCUCCUAUAUCUAUUGCUCUGCUCUUUCAUAAUUCUAUGGAACCUAUAUUGACAAUAAAUGCCCCUUUACUGGAACUGUUUCCAUUUGUGGCCGAAUCUUAGCUGGAACUUGUCACAGUGCUAAGAUGAAUAGGACUAUCAUUGUUAGGAGAAAUUAUCCUUUUGUACUUUUAGGUGGCUAGUUUUUUCACAUUAUUUGUUGUUGUUGUUUCGUAUGUGGACACCUGAAGAGAUGUAAGUAAUGAUCUGAUUUUGCUUUGUUUGCUUAUUUAUUUAUUUAUUUAUGAGAAGAGACAUUCGAAUAUUCCUGCACAUAUAUCAUCGUGCACCUGUGUGAAGAAAGGAGAUCAUGUUAUUGUUGGCCAAUGCAGGUAAGGUUUUAGGGUUUAAUGUAUUAACCUGAAGAUCUUGUCUUUGCCUAUUGUAUAGAUGUGUUGAAUGCUGAAAUUUGAGAUUUGAUUCUGUUUUUUGUUGAAAGAUAAUGUUACUUUAUUAG
Arachis ipaensis is the source of this 940-nucleotide non-coding RNA. Lineage: Eukaryota; Viridiplantae; Streptophyta; Magnoliopsida; Fabales; Fabaceae. The record is from RefSeq and is a predicted model, not a curated record.